Molecule: ribosomal RNA, 497 nt
Filed under: uncultured bacterium
Lineage: Bacteria
Description: partial 16S ribosomal RNA
Rfam family: Bacterial small subunit ribosomal RNA
Source: RNAcentral
AGUGAACGCUGGCGGUAGGCCUAACACAUGCAAGUCGAGCGACCGCACAGUAAGAGCUCGCUUUUACGGGUGGCGAGUGACGGACGGGUGAGAAGUACAUAGGCAUCUACUUUUACGGGGGGGAUAUCGGGAGAAAGGUUCCGCUACUAGCGAAUACUUCCAACGGGUUAAAGCAAGAGUUAAUGGGAGUUUGGCCGAUACAUUUAGCCGGAGCCGGGUUGCAUUAGCUAGUUGGUAAGGGAACGGCCUACCAAGGCAACGAUGCAUAGCCGACCUGAGAGGGUGAUCAGCCACACUGGAACUGAGACACGGUCCAGACUCCUACGGGAGGCAGCAGUGGGGAAUAUUGGACAAUGGGCGCAAGCCUGACGCAGCCAUGCCGCGUGAGUGAUGAAGGUCUUCGGGUUGUAAAGCCCUUUUAUUGGGAAAGAAAAGCAGCAUGUGAAUAUCCCGCUGUUCUGACGGUACCCAAACAAUAAGCACCGGCUAACUUCGUG